RNAcentral lists this ribosomal RNA (234 nucleotides) under uncultured bacterium. RNAcentral describes it as "partial 16S ribosomal RNA". It matches the Rfam family "Bacterial small subunit ribosomal RNA", at positions 30 to 261 of the family's 1533-position model. The record is from RNAcentral.
AUUGAACGCUGGCGGAAUGCUUUACACAUGCAAGUCGAGCGGCAGCGCGGGGCAACCCUGGCGGCGAGCGGCGAACGGGUGAGUAAUACAUCGGAACGUGUCCUUAAGUGGGGGAGUANCUCGGCGAAAGACCGGAUUAAUACCGCAUAAGCUCUGAGGAGGAAAGGCGGGGCUCCGUAAGGACCUCGCGCUGUUGGAGCGGCCGAUGUCGGAUUAGCUAGUUGGUGGGGUAAA